UGAUCCACACUGGGGAUCCGAACCUGCGAUCCCAUGCCACUGAAGCAGAGCGUGCCAAAAUUUAACCACUACACCACGGAGCUGGCCCCCAACAGUCCAUUUUUAAUUUUGUUGUUUUCUAGCCUGGCAGUUUCACAUGAGGAAGACAGCACGAAGAAAGCCAAGGUCUGACUGCUGCUUUUCAGUGAUCCAUUAAUCUAGAAUAUUAAUCAGGGGACCAUCUCCAUCCUCUUGCUUCCAGCAGCACUAAACCAAAAGGUUCCCACCUAGUGUUUAAUCAUCAGGAACCAGGGUCCUCUCAAGGAUGUUGAAUGAGACAAAAUGCAUUUGAAGGUGUGAUCAUCACUUCUGGGCCAGGGAAGGCACAAUAACAGCUCCUGUGAUGGGAGGAGGGGAGAAAAGGGAGAGGAGCCUCACUGUGGCCUUGAUGGCAUCUCCUUGGAAGCAGCAGGACCUUUAGGCCAGAAUGGUUUCUGUUCCCCUAUGUCCUCCACAAAAGGAGGGCAGUGAACAGAAUUUGGAGCAUACUAGAUGAAUGUCUGGGUGCCACCUUCUUGUAAAGCCCUAUGAGUAGCUUCUUAGGCAGACUCCUUUAGAGUGUAGGUUUGUGCCUGAGCUCCUUAGCGUGAAUGGAGCUCUGCCCCGUCUUGUAACACGCUGUUUUCUCACUAGGGACUUACCCUACCCUGUCUUGCACAUGUAUGUGUCUGAGAAGUACAGGGCCUGUUGAUAGUGACUCAAGGAUGUCACCUUAUGAAAGGAGGCUUCCUUGCCAUUCCUUAGCAGUUCCUAUCCAUACACUACUAACCCCACUUGGGUGGCCUGGGUGUUCUGGGCUGCAGCGGCACCAGAGGAACCCAACUCCAUUUGGGCUCCAGAACAAACAUGGCAUUAUAGAGUCCAUCCAAGAUUAUGAUGACAGGGUGACCCAUGGCAACGGGUGACAUAGUUCUGAGGACUAAAGCCCUCUCAUGUCUCCAACACUUGUCCUUCCUAUUCUUAAACCAAACCUAAAAUCAGAAGGAAAAAAGGGGUUGGUUUAGCAUAUUGAACAGGUAAUGUCAUAACAGAAAAACACAACAUGCAAAUCUAUUUGCUGUUGAGAUUUUAAACCACAGUGGGAGAAGCUAUUUCAUUAUUGCUAGAAUAUCUUAGGAAAGUUAAUACUGCAUUCGCUCCCUUCAGCGUGGACCAUGUGCCAAGCUCUGGUCUCAGCUUAUUGCUUUGUUUCCAUCCUCUCACUUUUAGUAUUCUUUAUUUUCCAGGUCUUGUAUGCAAGACUAGCUAGUGGAUUGCACUGUGUCCUUGCUGUUAAUGCUGUGCCUGGUAACAGGAUAGAGAAAUCUCCCCAAAUUCAAAACUUAUUUUCCAGUCAUGGAAAAGACAAUGAAAACAAACCAACGUGAGAAUGACCAGGACAGAGGUGUCCAAGUCCUGAAGCGGGUUUCGAAUGGCUGCCCUGCAGAGCUGCUUUGUUCAGGUUUACUCGCCUGCACCCUGGCUUCAGUCACACUCAUGCACAGUGCAAUCUCCUUUCUGAGAAGACAAAAGCACAAAUGUCCAAUAUUCAGAUAUGUGAAUGGAACUAAAUAUAUGGAUGUUAUUUCAUGCUUGUUUUAAAAUUUCUCUCCCUCUUAUGCCCCCCACCCCAGCAGAAUUUUCUGUAAUACCCAGUUCAAGGCUUGCUUUAGGGGGUGGUCUUCCUUCCCGCACAAAAUUUAAUGUGGCACCAAAACAAUCAGUGAUCAAGAUAAUGUUUUAACAAAUUUAACAAGUAUCAAAAUGAAUGCAAAAAUAAUCCAUGAUGAAAAAAUUAUCAAAAUUUAGAUAUAGGUAGGAUCUGACCCUGCACUUGCUCCACUGUGCCUCGUGCACAGUUCCAAUAAAAUGUUAUUUACAAAACAG
Non-coding RNA from Equus caballus (horse), 1905 nucleotides. The record is from RefSeq and is a predicted model, not a curated record. NCBI's taxonomy places the organism in Eukaryota, Metazoa, Chordata, Mammalia, Perissodactyla, Equidae.